Long non-coding RNA from Gavialis gangeticus (Gharial), 1429 nucleotides. RefSeq lists it as uncharacterized. The record is from RefSeq and is a predicted model, not a curated record. The transcript has 3 exons. Lineage: Eukaryota; Metazoa; Chordata; Crocodylia; Gavialidae.
CAUUUUUCUCACCACUGCAAGCUAAACCCAGGAUGUUUUCCUGGUCAAAUGUAUGAAUCAAAUGAGAUAAUGUUCCUCAUCUCACAUGUCAUAGACUUCUAGAACCAGUUGUUUUGCCAGCAUGAAGAACUCCUCAACAAAGUUGCAGCUUGCAAGGCCAUCCAGCUGGUGGGCAGGCUCAUUCUCCCUGCUGACUCUCAACAUGACCCUAAAGAAUGCAGCACAACCGUUUCAGUUUCCAACCUGUCAAGACUUUGCACAAAUGAUUUGUCAAGAAAAAGUCUAAUUAUGUCUGGCUUAAGGCUUCCAUGUUAAACAGAAACAAUUGUGGUGACUGAGAAAGAACCGCCUCCUGGCACUUAAGCAAAAUCUGAAAGCAGCAUGAUUGUCUUGCCUUGUUUCUUUCCAUCAACACCCUGUGGUCAGAAAAAGACACUUCAAACUACUUCACUUCCAUUUCUAUCAAUUUUGGGAGACUGGCAGCACCUUGGCAUUUGCCUUGUACUGUAUAUGAGUCAUACUGCUAGGGCAACAAGACAGCCUGUUGAAUGCAAAGUUUGAAGUCAAGCAGACUCCCAGCCAAAACCUGUUACUGCAGCUAUCAAGCAGAUUAAACUAAAAUUAUUUUGAUGCGCACAUCAAAAAUCAAAGUGAGUUUGGAAAUUUGGAGGAAAACAGCAGGUGGCCACUGUGCUAUAAAAUUAUUAGAAAAAAUCUGUUUUGCUACUGCUGUUUCUCAACCAUUGUAAAAUAUCUGGAGUCAUCAUUUUGUUUAUCUUUUUGUGGGAGUUGCAUAUGUCUAUUAGUAAUAGAAGUGCUUGAACAAACUAUCUUACAAUUUUCAAAAGCAAAGGUCAAAUGCGACUCCCAUUUGAAAUCAAUGUAAAGACUUUCACUGAGAGACAGGCUGGACACUUGGGAAUAAACAGAUAUUUGUUAAAAAUAACUGUUAAUGAAAAGUGAGGAAAGGAGCAUAUGUAAAGCUUGCAACUAACCAUAAGCAUAAGACUCUUUAGAAAUUAAGGUCUACAUUAUUAUAAAGUUCAAAUGAUUUAGAAUCUCUGCUUCUGCAUGCCCAGUUUGAGAUAACUUGGAGUCUCUGUCUUGUUUCCAGAAAGUGGGCACAUAUACCGUUUGGACAAUAAGCACUUUUUAGGGUUGGGGGUCUGAAAACCAAUGCCACUGCAAUUACUUUAGUGUUCCUUCAUUCCUCUACAAAGCUGGCAAUCUGCUACUAUUCCAAACUAGCUUACUGGAGAUAGGACCUUGGGGAAGUGGCCAAAUCUACACCUCACCCAGCCCUUCAGAGUGGAAAAAACAGUGAAUAGAGCUCCUGCUUCAGCUGCUGCCUAACCAAAAAGGUGCAUCAAUCCAUGGUGAGUAAGAUUUUGCUUGUGAAAUUUCUUAGCUAUUUAAAUAUCUGCUUGUG